GGUUGCGAUCAUACCAGCACUAAUGCACCGGAUCCCAUCAGGACUCCGCAGUUAAGCGUGCUUGGGCGAGAGUAGUACUAGGAUGGGUGACCCCCUGGGAAGUCCUCGUGUUGCAACCC
This 119-nucleotide ribosomal RNA is filed under the name Helianthus annuus (common sunflower). The record is from RNAcentral. Lineage: Eukaryota; Viridiplantae; Streptophyta; Magnoliopsida; Asterales; Asteraceae.